AUGCUCGCUUCGGUAGCAUAUAUAGUAAAUUUGGAACGAUACAAAGAAGAUUAGCAUGGCCCCUGCACAAAGAUGACGUGCAAAAUCAUAAAGCGUUCCAUAUUUAA
Small nuclear RNA from Sorex fumeus (smoky shrew), 107 nucleotides. The record is from RefSeq and is a predicted model, not a curated record. NCBI's taxonomy places the organism in Eukaryota, Metazoa, Chordata, Mammalia, Eulipotyphla, Soricidae.